GCAGUUUGGAUCCAACACUAAAGGCUGGGAUUUAUUAAACAAUCUUACAAUUUUAUGCUAGAUUCCAAAGAAACUUCAAUUUCAAUAAAAUAUUUUGGACAAAAGAGUCUUUUGUCAAUCUAAAUGUUUGGAUCUUGGCUUUUAUUACUGCUGGAGAAAAAAACUACAACUACAGGUCAGAAGCUGCAACGGUUCCAAACAGUUACUGCAUGGUGAUGCUCAGGACUACAACCUGAACUCUGGGCACGCUCACAUAAAUGGCCUGCACUUGUAAAGCGGUUCAUCAAUUCCCCAGAGACCCCAAAGCGCUUUACACCACAAUCAGUCAUCCACCCAUUCACACACUGACAGUGGUAAGCUAGCAUUGUAGCCACAGCUGCCCUUAGGUAGACUAUCAGAGGUGAGACUGCCAUACAAUCUGCACCACUGGGCCCUCUGACCACCAUCAGCAGGCAAGGAGGGUGAAGUGUCUUGCUUAAAGACAUAACGACAGAGACAGACAGAGCGGGGUAUGAACCAGCAACAAUCGGUUACAGGACAAACCUCUACCACUGUGGCCACAAAGAAAGAAGUGUACAUGGACAAGAUCUCAAGGCGAAGUCAUGGAGAGGCCUGUGCCUGGUUCGGGAUCCUCAGGGUCUCCCCUUCGCUUUUUCGCAGAUGAUGUGAUUCUGUUGGCGUCUGUUUGCAAUCAAGUGUGUAAUAGACCUGGUAAUCUAUGGUGGAAAUGUGCCUAAACAAUAGGUGUUUUGUUUCCCUUCCUGCCCCUGGAACCCCUGCUGGUUCAACACAAGAACAUUCGUUGCAGAGGAGUUGAGAUGUCUGUGUGUAAUACGUCUGAUGCUGAAAAACCUGUCUCCCUUA
Long non-coding RNA from Girardinichthys multiradiatus, 864 nucleotides. RefSeq lists it as uncharacterized. The transcript has 3 exons. The record is from RefSeq and is a predicted model, not a curated record. Lineage: Eukaryota; Metazoa; Chordata; Actinopteri; Cyprinodontiformes; Goodeidae.